Molecule: long non-coding RNA, 8314 nt
Organism: Anopheles gambiae (African malaria mosquito)
Lineage: Eukaryota; Metazoa; Arthropoda; Insecta; Diptera; Culicidae
Exons: 2
Source: RefSeq, a predicted model, not a curated record
UUAUAUGAUUCAUCACCACUUUUCCCUCUCGAACCCUAGACCAGGAAGCCGCCGGAAGUCUGGUCUGCUCGUUUCAACGGCACAGCACACCCGUUCAAAGCAGUGCCCCGGUUAAUAAUGAUCGAUAACUUGCGCGUCCGAUGCAUGAUGGACGAUCAUCGGGGGCCGAUCAACACUGACCAGGCAGUGGCAGUGGCUGCACCCGGGUAAAUCGAUCCACUCGUGUCUGGACUUUGGGCGGCUUCCACUUUGAAGGAAGGGGAGGAAACUUCAAAGCCGGAGGCCCCUUAAGCGAUCCGGGAAUUACCAUAAUUUUCAACGGCUGGAAAGGAUCAAACAGGUUCCUCAGGGGAGAGCGAGAGAAGAAGUGUGCAGAAAGCACGAAAGAAGAAGGUGAGAAGCGCGUAUACACAUGCUCAAGGAAAGGUGAUACAUCACCAAGUAGGCUGAGUGUGAUGAGUGGUUGCUAUGGGCAACUUCCUGACAGCAGGAGUUAGGAGAAUAGCUUCACGUAUUCUUGAUCGAUCAAAUCGAACGAUCGAGUGGACGUGAUCAAAGGGAUAGUGAAGAAAUUAAUCCAUCACUCCUGGAUGGACAGGAUCACACAGAAAGGACACACAACAACAACACCAUGUCGGAGUGUUUGCUUUCGCUCUCGCAAUGGAAAAGGUCUCAGAAAAUGGGUGUUAUUGGAUAAACAUGUACCUCUUCAACGAGGCCAAUCGAAUGGCGCGCACCUUCCAGGGGUGCGGGCCGCUGUCUCUGCCACACAAACGAAUCGGGUUCGAUUGAUCCAAAGUGGAAGCUUUGGCAACAAAUAAAAACACCACCCAAGGGCCUGAUCGUGACUGCUUGAGCUGGCGUUAGACUUUCCCAGGCACCACACACUGUAGACUUUACGAUCCACGGGUAAAGGCCCCCCUUUAGGGGUAUACCACUCGCUCCCCCCACUAACGGUACCACUUUCUCUGGCAAAGACGACGACCACGAUGAUGAUGAUGAUGAAUUCCUGUCAAUGGUUCAAGAGGCGCAUGCAAAGUAGCUCUCCUGCAUCGCUGAUUAAAGACAGCACAGGCCAGUUAGCGUUAUGCCAUCGCUCCGAGGGGUCAAUCGAAUCGAAUCGUUGGCCCUUUCGUUGCCCUUUUCGCUAUGUUACCAAGAGCACCAAGAAGCUGACGGUACCAGCAGCAGCAGCUGCUGCUACAGCCGCGACCGUUAGAUGCCUUCUGACCCGGAGCAUACUGAGGGGUCGGCAUAGAAUCUAUGAUCGCUUCGAGCCACGGCUGAUCUACUGGAGAAAGAGCUGGAUGUGUUUAAAUUUUCCUCCAACACGCGAUUAUCUUGAGGGGGAGGGGGGAAGGGAGGAAUUCUAGUUUGCCCUUUUUCCAUUCCAGAGAUCACCACCCCAGUGCCACGAGCGACCGCUUUAAUGACUUUAUCAUCCAGUUUGCGUCGGGUUGAAAUUGAAGACACGCGAGCCUGAUGCACCCGUAAAACCCCUGUGGGAUGCUGUUCAAACAUGUCUUCAAAUAAAUCUUUACUUCAGAUUUCAGAACGCACACACACACACAAAUCCUAACCUCGUAAAAUUAUACAACUUCCUGUCCGAUUUAACGCCCAGCAAUAUGGUUAAGUUUGAUGUGAAAUAUGUGUUUAACACAAAAAACCCUGAAGAAACCCAUGUUCUGCUUGUAAAAAAAAACAAGAACUCAAUGGGUUGGCUUUGUGUGCCGUUCCACUGUUUCAGUGCCGAUAGUUGGCACGGAUUAGUAUCGGAUUGCGUACAACCGACCACCGACCACCGGGCAGCUGACCCCCGGUUGCAAAAGGAUUUGCAAAAUUUAUGCGAUGCACGCCCACCGAUACCGCCCUGAACUGAAAAUAAAAAGCCCGCAUACGGACACAGAAAUAGGUAGAAAAUAAAACUAGAAAACAAGCACUCCUAACGUACAAACGAGCUUACGAUGGGAAUCGAAACACGUUCAAAUUUCGGAACACGGAGAGGAAGUCGAGCUCAAAAUUUUGGGCCGGGAAAUCGAUACCUCCGUUCCUUGCCUUCGGGCGAUGCAGCAAGCACGAUCUUCUCUGGGAACAAGUUAAAGUUAUGCCUGACCGACAUAUCUUGCAGGUGUAUCAAGUUCGGGAUGUGUGUGUGUGGUGUUUAAGCCUUACGUGCAAUCUACGUGCCCACCAACUGUACUGCAAGUGGCUGUGGAAUCCGGACGGCAUUGCAGUCUCGCCCGGGAACAAGCCCAUACUUCCAAAACUCCGCCAUCAUUACCGUCGAUCGGUUCUAAUGAUGGACCCUGGGCGCGAGCGCGCGCCCUCGGCCCAACACCCUGAAAUUCCCAGGAAAGUAAUCAGACAGCGUGAAUAAUUCAAAAAUCUAUCUUCCGCUGCACCGUCCGAGAGUACUCCAGCACCAAGGUUCUCGCUGCGUUCUUUUGCUGGCUUCUUUCCAUGAUAAUGCUUCAUUAUUGCUGCUCGGCGUUUAGAUAUGCCCGUGGCCCGUAGUUCUGGGGCGGUCUUGAACCGUUUCCAAAGUGGCCGCGGCGGUAAGGAUCAUUUGAGGGAAAUUAAGGAUAACACACACACUUUUCAAUCGCAGACACCCAUCAAAUUACUCGGCACACUUGUGACCAAAGAAGCAGGCAUAGCAACCGUUACCAAGUCGCGCCCGAAAAGUGCUGUGUGCGUGUGUGUGCUCUCCUCCGCGCAGGUAGCAAGAAGGCAAAACCAAGUCCAACAAAGUCCAAGCGCAGUGUGCCGUGUCCUGGUGAGACAUCAGUCAACCGUCCAUCCAUCCAUCCAUCCAUUCCCUAUGGCGCACGUAACAAGUGUUUACAGUCCUCCAGCAGUACCGGGGCAACGUUAAGAAGUCGGCAAAGGCAAAGGCCACGAAAACACGCCAAGGAAUGCCCGGCCCGGGCAGGAGGAAGUCGCCUUUUGGUUACGCGCCACGGUUUUCCAGGUUCGUAAGCAAGAAGAGCAUGCUGAAAAAAGGAGCAGGGCUUCAAGAGAUAAAUGUCGGCAAAAGGGCGCACGGGGAAUUGGAAGUAAUUGAACCAGACGAAGGUCGUAGUGGGUGAGUCAGAUGGGGAAUACACACAAAAACAAAAAACAAGACAAGAACGAACGCAUCAGAUCGCCCAAAGAACUGGGAUGAUGUCUUGGAGAUGACCCAGAGCAGCAUACAACAGCGUGAACCAGCUUCUUGGGCGAGAGGACUGCUCCUACGGUACACGAACCGAUAAUUGGGCAGAGUUCUGAACGAAACGCAUCGAAACGGUCGAAAAGCUGUACCCGCUUUCCGUCUCGUUACUGACGUGAUAUCCCAACCGAAGCGAUGGCUACAACCCCAAGCAAAAGGGGAUAACGGUUCUCUCGGACGAAGCGCAAAUUGAUCUUUGCCAACUUUGCCUUAUGACCGAUUAGCGUCAACCGUUUGGCACAAAUGAGCUGGCAAUGGGGAUUGUGGUUGCCCGUAAGCCCACUACCACAAUCCCCAUUGCCAGCUGUCACAUGUGAACAUCCAGUGCUACCGGACAGCAGCGUCAGCCAUUGAGAAAUUGGCCAUUUGGAGUAUUAUGUUGUGUUUUCAGCUUGUUACUUUCCCAUACAUCCCUCGCUAUCGCUCGAUCAAAAGAAGAAACCGGGAUUUAAUGGUCCAUCAAAGGCGGAAGUACUACGCGGGUGGGAUGCUUCAUAAAACGGAGCAAAACGACCCUACUCGUUUUAAAACGAGUCAUCACUUUUAUUGCAACUUUCACGAACGCCAGCCCAUCAUUCCGAUUAUCCAAAAGGGCACUUUACAGCGAUCAAACAUAUAUCAGACACACCCACCGAGCGAGAAGCAUUUCAUAAACGGAUAUGUCACUUUUAUGAUGCCCUUGUGUUUCACCAUCACCUUUACUCUGGAGCUGUAGUACCUUGUUGACAACUCAAUAUGAAAACAUCUUCUUCUUCCGCCUCUUCUUCAAACUUCUUCUAUAAAUUGCGCAGGCGGCAGAAGAAGCAAGCGCGUAUCUUACGCUUUCUAAAUAAUUUAUCAAUUGACAUUCGGCUUGACACUAUACUUACGGCCCCACGGAUAGGUCGACAUGGAGAGGAGGGAGCACACCUCUUGGGCCACUAUUCGGAACGCCGAAUCGAUUUUAAUGCGCCAACAUCACCUUCACGCCGACUUUAAACGGCCUGCUGCCCUCCCUUGGGAGGGUGUGAUGUCAUCCGCGCAUAUUAACGGUGACGAAUUAGUGUCAUCUUGAUGCUUCGAGCGAAACUAGAACAACUAGGUGAGGCAACCGCCAAAAACUGGUGCGAGCGCGCGCGUGUUUGAGUUCUAUUUUUGGGAGCCAUCUAUUCCGGCAACGAAUUUCUUGGAGAAAAAAGACGAAACAUGAUUUCCUCCCCUCCCGACUAUCGUGGCUCAUCGCACACUGAUUGGUUUUAUGCAAAGUGUGUGCCAAACGGUCGUUUAAUUAUUGGUACAGCUUGGUAAGCCAACUCUCAGUCCCUGCACGAACACGAUUCGAUCAUGUACACGUGUCUGUGGCAGUUUGUGCGUGUCUGUGUGUGUGGCCACAUCUAAAAACAUGCCAUCUAACCUUGCCCUAUCUCAAAGCUGGCGAUGAGUACACGACCAAACCCUCUGCUGCUUCCGAGUGCCCUCCGGCGGGUAUAAUCUUCCACCAAGGAAAUCCAAUCUUGUGUUGUGUGUCGUCGUAGCCGCUUGUUCCGCGUUCCCCUUUCUUGCCAUCUUCUCCGAUGGGGCUUGGGGUAUUAAUAAGCUUGGCUUACCGAUACCAAUUGAUCCAGCAUUGACGACAGGUCGGAGAAGCAGGAAGCCGCACCAUCAUCAUCCUCAUCAGAGGGUUCCUUCCAACUUCCAAGAUGUGUGGUGUCGUACACGUUACGUUCGUCGCCGCUCAGGGGAGUUUGUUAUUUGCUUUUCAUCCCUCAAUCCAUUCCGUGUUGAGAUAGAUCAUCAUCUUCUGUCAUCAUCAUUAUCUGCCCUCGGGUGGGAAGCUGGGACACGUCACCGAACCUAAAACGGUGGUUCUCGUAUUACAAAAAAGAAAAGUAAAUACUCUUCACACUGUGUGUCCAUUUUCAACAUUUUGAGUUGAUUGAGAAGUUUUUCCUACGUACGUAGCUAUCAGCUAUCACAACACAUUGACACACACACACACACGGCAGCAAGUUAAUUUAAGUUUUUUGCUCUCACCUCUGCACUCACACGACCACCAUUCCAUUCCGUGAAGGUGAAAAACUUUUGCCCCAUAAAUGAACCGUUUAUGGGGUGGAAAAGUUUGGCUGCGCUCGUUUCGAUUUUCCAAUUUUUUGAACACAUUUCAGAGACAGAGAGCACUGCCCCUGGGAUGAUGGCAUUCUUCUACGCCACGUGUUUUUGUUGUCGAGGAUGAGCAUACGGAGCAUAAACCGUCCGGAAUGCCGUCCGGAGUUUGGGAAUGCCGUUCGACAGAUGGCCUUAAUUUAGCUCACCUCAACCCAGCACAGCACGAGCGAGCGUGUUGUCACAGCGUGCUCGGCGCAUUGCCUACUGUGCUGUCGGGUCAUUCGCGCAAAAACACACGCAUUUUCCGCCAACGUCAUUGACUUUAUUCCAUUUCAUUCCAUUCGCUCUCAGUCCUGCUCAGUGCCUCCUUGGACCGGGCUCCAUCCGAAGAUGGUUGCUGUUGGCGUGUCGUGUCGUGCGCUGCGUGUUUGCGCAAAAACAAUAUUAGAAUAUUUUCGAUGAAGGUGAAUAUUAUCUACCAAAACUGAGAGACAAAAACACUCGCCGGGAUGCUUGCCACCAUCGGGGAGGACGGGUCAUUGACGGGUGGGAGAAAAAACUUUCCAUUUCGUUGGCAUUAGAUUGUUAGAAUUAAGAGGGAAAGAGAGAGAAAGAGAGGUAGCCAGGAGAAAGCACAGGUGGGAGCGUACUUUCGCCUUUCGGUUGCCAAACAUAAACGAGGUGUUACGAAAUGUUAAUUUGGCAGCAACGGACCGAACUUUCCGCCAUUGCCACAGCAUCUAAAGAUCCACAACCAUUAAGGGGGUGGAAAAAAUAAAACGAAACUUUUUUGGUGACAAUGUUUGGCAACGGAUAAUACCAUCGAUGGAAUUGCUGCGGUUUUGCUUCUGUUUUCUAUUCGUUGAGCCAAAUCCUGUUUCACGCUGGAUGUUAUUAGUUUGCGGAGUGGUUAUUAUUCGUUCACUCGCAAAGCAUUUUUAUUUCGUUCUUUUAAUGACAUUUUUGUUAUUUAGGUUGUUAAAUAUGAAAAAAAUAUGAUCAAGUUUAGUUUUAGAUUGAACGAGAAAAAAAAAAUCAUUCAUUAAACAAAGAAAAACCAACCUAAGCAUGCGCCUCAAAGCCUCAAAACCAAAAUGCGCCUCAAAGUAUGCAAUAGGCGGUACAAAAUCCCAAUUUUAAUGCUUUUUCUACUGUUAUGUUAUUUGUGUGGGGGAAUGUAUUCAAAGAACUUUACAAAUAAUGAAAUUACUGCCAUAUUUUGAGUUAUUACUUAAAACUCAACAAUAAACUUACUUUUGCUAUCACAAACAUUUGUAAAGCAUAAAUUAUGCUUAUGCUGAUCGCAUUUCCACAUCCCCUUUUUACCGACAGUGUCUGUCCUCUGCAUGAGUCUUAGUACAUGUUUUGCAAGUGUAAUGUAACACCAAAACCCAAACAAAGUCAUCAUACUACUGUCACCAUUUUCCCAGCCAUUCAAGAUCAUCACAAGAAGAAAGAACUAUCUCAACCCAGACCCGCCAGACAACUCCGCCCAACCCAGCAGAAUAGUAAAUUAAUUUCCCAACCACAAACUCGGCGCGGUUUUGUGUACUUGGGGGGAGGGGGGGGGGUGGAAAGAAAUGAAUAAUUUCUCCACGCGAGCGGAUAGUAAAUGACAAAAAUCGUGGCACAUCAACGAGAAGAAGGGCAAAACCACCACUACAAAAACAGAUGGAAACGGAAGCGUAACACCGUCUGGCACCGUCUGUUCGGUCUGGUUCGACCGAAGAACUCGGCAAACACGAAACAAGAUCAAGGUGUCUUCUCACGUUUGUUGGUUGGUUUUGGUUUGGUUUGGUGAUGUGUGAGAAAUGUUGUUAUUUAUUUACACCAUGAAGAGAUGCAACGGUACCGGUUCAUCACACACCGUUCAUUGACACGGUGUCUUGGUUGCCAGCAGUGUGGUUUAAAGAACUCUUUUUUGCAAUUGCAAUUUAAAGACAGUUUCUGGAUACUUUAAGUCGUUACCAAGAAGCACGUCCCUUCCUUGGCAUAGCAUCGGUGAAGCCAAACCUUGCUCUCUGGCACGGAAAAAAAACGGAUCCAAAGGAUUGGCCCUAACCUUCCACCCCGUUGCAUUCGCUCCUAACCUUACAACCCGCCAGCGAGCAAGCCAGCAAGGUUAACCGGUGUGAUCGCAUCACCACACAAAAAAGAAACACACACGAAGGAAACCUUAUGUUGCCUCGUUCUUCUUCGCCUUCGAUACGAUGAGUCAUGGGUCAUUGUUACAGCGGCAUCUUGCAGCAUGGCGAUCAUCGAGCGAGCGCGCGCCCCGUGAAUAUUAAGUGCAGAAAAGCACCCAUAAAGCUCGUAAUAUGUUUUACGACGCAUACGACGACGUCCUCCCGCGUCCCUUUUGACAGGGUCGGUCGCCCAGAGUGAACCAAUGCAUCGAUGGCAGCGCGUUGGACGGGGUGGUUCUGGUGCAUCGUUCUGUCUGCCGGCCGCCGCACGCUAGAUGAAUUUACUGUCGGAUGGGAGCAUCAUCAUCAUCAUCAUCGUUCGUGUGUCCGCCGCCGGCUGAGGAGCGAAAAACCGCUCAAACCCAUUUGCGCACGGCAAAGAGCGGAGUUUGCGUGACAAGUUUGAGUAAAACAAACGAUAACAGCCCUCCCCGGGUUGGGUGGGGGAGAGAGGAAGGGACAGCGAAGGGAUAAAAGUAUAGUUCGCUUUCUAUGUAAUGGCAGCAAUUGCUUGCAAUUGCUAGUGGAAGGAAAGUAAUGUAGCCGAUAGCUUCUGCGAAUGCAUUAAAAACCUUGCGCACCACAAUGAAGUUUGCUGCAAAAUUGAUGGCUCUUCUUUCCGGUAGUAAAACAAAACAGCACAUAAAAUUGUUUCGUUUUGUUGUGUUUGAUUGGUGUACACACACACACACACACACACACACACACACACACACACACACACACACACACACACACACACACACACACACACACACACACACACACACACACACACACACACACACACACACACACACACACACACACACACACACACACACACACAAAA